AACGAACGCUGGCGGCAUGCCUAACACAUGCAAGUCGAACGAGACCUUCGGGUCUAGUGGCGCACGGGUGCGUAACGCGUGGGAACCUGCCCUUAGGUUCGGAAUAACUCCCCGAAAGGGGUGCUAAUACCGGAUAAUGUCUUCGGACCAAAGAUUUAUCGCCUUUGGAUGGGCCCGCGUUGGAUUAGCUAGUUGGUAGGGUAAAAGCCUACCAAGGCGGCGAUCCAUAGCUGGUCUGAGAGGAUGAUCAGCCACACUGGGACUGAGACACGGCCCAGACUCCUCGGGGGGGCAGCAGGGGGGAAAAUUGGACAAGGGGCGAAAGACUAAUCCCGCAAGGCCGGGUGAGUGAGGAAGGCGUUAGGGUUGAAAAGCUCUUUUACCCGGGAUGAUAAGAAAGGAACCGGGAAAAAAAGCUCCGCCAAACUCCGG
Molecule: ribosomal RNA, 432 nt
Filed under: uncultured bacterium
Lineage: Bacteria
Description: partial 16S ribosomal RNA
Rfam family: Bacterial small subunit ribosomal RNA
Source: RNAcentral